AUGGCGAGGCCGAAGCGGCGCAGGGCGAGCCCUAGCCACCCGUACCGCGGCAUCCGGCAGCGGGCGUGGGGGAGGUGGUCGGCGGAAAUCCGCGACCCCAUCAAGGGCGCUCGCGUCUGGAUCGGCACCUUCGACACGGCCGCGGAGGCCGCGCGCGCCUACGACGCCGAGGCGCGGCGCAUCCACGGUAGAAAGGCCAGGACCAACUUCCCUGCAGCGCCGGCGGCGCCGUGCAGCCAUCGUCCUGGGCCGUCUUGUUGCAGCACCGAUGACGGCGCCGACAACGUGGCCCGUGCGACGGAGAGCGCCUCGUCGUCGUCCAAGCAUGUCCACGGGAUUGCGCCUUCCGACGCGCGCAUACUGCUGGAAUGCUGCUCGGACGACGUCAUGGAGAGCCUCCUCGCCGGCUCCGACAUGGCCGGCAACAUGGACCUCCCGGAGCUUCCGGUUCCCGAGCUAACAAUAACACAUGCAUCCGGUAGCAAUUUUGUUAAAAACACUUUGUAUGAAACAUACACGUAA
Molecule: ribosomal RNA, 522 nt
Filed under: Triticum aestivum (bread wheat)
Lineage: Eukaryota; Viridiplantae; Streptophyta; Magnoliopsida; Poales; Poaceae
Description: partial small subunit ribosomal RNA
Source: RNAcentral